UUCCGACUCCAGGGCACCGUUGAGGAUAUCCGGCGGCCGCUCGGACCUGGCCCUGCCACAGGCGCCUUCCCAGCAUCAGGGCCAUUCUAUCCUUGAGGGGCGAAGGGGUCACUUCUUGUCUCUCCUCGCCGCCGCUGCUGCCCAGCUGGCAGGGAUGCCCAACUGACCUCUCACCCGGCCUGGGCUCUUCCGCCUCCCGCCCGCACCGCUUUGGGAACUAGUAGGGGACUUUGGGAAUCAGCCCGGCGCCCCCAACCUUCUUCCUCUUUCCCGACGCCCUGCUCCAUCUGCCCACUCCCCACUCUGGCUUUGGUGGUCUCUCACUGAACCUCUUUCCCCAGUUUAGGACCUGCUGGAAGGGGUCCUAAGAUGAAACUCAGCAGCAGCGCGUGGCCACUGUAGGGACCUAGGAGCUGAACAACCUGCUCCACUUCAUUUCGUUACAAAUUGAUUUUGAUACAAACCAUGUUGGGAACUCAACAGCCUUGGAUGCUCCUUGGAGAGGCAGCUGUUUUGAAUUCCUGCAGUUUGUUCUGAGCAAGAUAUGGACCUCUUAACCAUUUUUUUAAAGUGCUCAACCAAAGAUUGUAUUAGAAGUAACACUUUCAGAAAAGAAAAUGUAAGCAAUGCAGAAAGGACUCAGAUGGAAAGUGAAAGUCCUCUGGACUGAAGGUGAGGAGAGAGAGCAGGCCUGGAGACUGAAUUGGACUGUGCAUUGGGACGGAACCCUGGGGAAACCGCAGCUGCACUAGAGCAGUUGUGUCAGCAGGGCUCAUCGGAAUGUCCCCACAGAAAAACUGGCCACAUGAGACUGUCUUGCUUUGCUGCUUAUUAUCUUCUGUCUACUUUUUCUAGGAAAAUACCUUUCAGCGUUUGUAUUGUUUUAAGUUAUUGAAGCUCGUUGUAUACUAAAGAGCUUUCAGUCUGUCAAAUUUGUUACAAUUUUUUCCCUAAAUUAUUGUUCAUCUUCUAAGUUUUUGGUGUUUUCUGCCAUUCAAAAAUGAUUUUUAUUGUGUUGUCAGUUCUAAUAAUCCUUUUCUUUUGUUGUCUCUGCCUCUGAUAGCAUGCUUAGAAACUCUUCUUCAGCCCCAGGGUUAUAAAAGUGUUCACUUGA
Molecule: long non-coding RNA, 1114 nt
Filed under: Bos indicus x Bos taurus (hybrid cattle)
Lineage: Eukaryota; Metazoa; Chordata; Mammalia; Artiodactyla; Bovidae
Description: lncRNA (ENSBIXG00005021099.1)
Source: RNAcentral